Molecule: ribosomal RNA, 668 nt
Filed under: uncultured bacterium
Lineage: Bacteria
Description: bacterial SSU rRNA
Rfam family: Bacterial small subunit ribosomal RNA
Source: RNAcentral
GCAGUCGACGGCAGCACGGGAGCAAUCCUGGUGGCGAGUGGCGAACGGGUGAGUAAUAUAUCGGAACGUGCCCAGUCGUGGGGGAUAACGUAGCGAAAGCUACGCUAAUACCGCAUACGAUCUAUGGAUGAAAGCGGGGGAUCGCAAGACCUCGCGCGAUUGGAGCGGCCGAUAUCAGAUUAGGUAGUUGGUGGGGUAAAAGCUUACCAAGCCUGCGAUCUGUAGCUGGUCUGAGGGGACGACCAGCCACACUGGAACUGAGACACGGUCCAGACUCCUACGGGAGGCAGCAGUGGGGAAUUUUGGACAAUGGGCGCAAGCCUGAUCCAGCAAUGCCGCGUGCAGGAUGAAGGCCUUCGGGUUGUAAACUGCUUUUGUACGGAACGAAACGGUUCUCUCUAAUAAAGGGGGCUAAUGACGGUACCGUAAGAAUAAGCACCGGCUAACUACGUGCCAGCAGCCGCGGUAAUACGUAGGGUGCGAGCGUUAAUCGGAAUUACUAGGCGUAAAGCGUGCGCAGGCAGUUAUGUAAGACAGAUGUGAAAUCCCCGGGCUCAACCUGGGACCUGCAUUUGUGACUGCAUAGCUGGAGUACGGUAGAGGGGGGAUGGAAUUCCGCGUGUAGCAGUGAAAUGCGUAGAUAUGCGGAGGAACACCGAUGGCGAAGC